CCUUGUCCUCAACAUAUUCCAACAUUUCAUGCAGCUCAACUACCUGCAAUUCACUGGCUUCUGCAACAGGUAACUUUCAUCGAUUUUGUUGGAUAUCUUUCAAGCCUGGAUUCAAAUAACUAGUUAAUUCGUUGUCAUUAUAUUCUUUCAGGUAACACACCUGGCUGUUCAUCAUCAGCUUGUGUCUACGGCAUUCAAUAUGGAGACUCAUCUUUCUCAGUUGGAAUCUUUGCUAAAGAAAAGCUCACCUUGACAUCAACUGAUGUGUUCGAUGACUUUCUAUUUGGUUGUGGCCAAAAUAACCAAGGUCUUUUCGGAGGGGCAGCCGGAUUGAUAGGACUUGGCCGAGAUAAAUUAUCUUUACC
Molecule: long non-coding RNA, 365 nt
Filed under: Gossypium barbadense (sea-island cotton)
Lineage: Eukaryota; Viridiplantae; Streptophyta; Magnoliopsida; Malvales; Malvaceae
Description: long non-coding RNA (GBAR_LNC015958)
Source: RNAcentral